Oncorhynchus tshawytscha (Chinook salmon) is the source of this 727-nucleotide long non-coding RNA. The record is from Ensembl. NCBI's taxonomy places the organism in Eukaryota, Metazoa, Chordata, Actinopteri, Salmoniformes, Salmonidae.
CGGAUACACAACCAUGGUAACGGGGACUUGUUUACGCACAAACACCUCUCGGUGCCUGACGAUGACCUUUAAGUCCCCUCUUGGACCAUCUCCGUAUCUGACACCUCCUCAAGAUAAGAUCUUCAGCAGAAGCUCCUCUAGGGGAGAGUGUCGCGGUUGGCCCUCUGCGACACAGCAAUCACCCACCACCACCAUAGCAGGAGUGUGACAAUUGCCCACGAGGUGUCAUAACAGCUGCUUCGGUUGUGGCGACAUAAAUAACCAUGGCGACCCGAUGAACUGUCUCCCCAACAAUGCACUCUUCCCCCAGCUGCCUCAUGGCCCAAUGGAAGUCUGCCUGGCUGCCUCUGUUGUGUGGAAGCCCCUCAAUAUGGAGGAAAUCGUACUGUCAGACAGACGACCAAAGACAGGAGAUAACACUGUACAUGAACCAACUGCGCCACAUAGCAUACUUUACACGGACAUUAGCAAGGACCUGAGCCCUAGGACCAUGCCCCAGGACUACCUGACAUGAUGACUCCUUGCUGUCCCCAGUCCACCUGGUCGUGCUGCUGCUCCAGUUUCAACUGUUCUGCCUUAUUAUUAUUCGACCAUGCAUUUAUGAACAUUUGAACAUCUUGGCCAUGUUCUGUUAUAAUCUCCACCCGGCACAGCCAGAAGAGGACUGGCCAUCCCACAUAUGCUCUCUCUAAUUCUCUCUUUCUUUCUCUCUCUCGGAGGACCUGAG